This 483-nucleotide ribosomal RNA is filed under the name Triticum aestivum (bread wheat). RNAcentral describes it as "partial small subunit ribosomal RNA". Lineage: Eukaryota; Viridiplantae; Streptophyta; Magnoliopsida; Poales; Poaceae. The record is from RNAcentral.
AUGAAGACUUUGGUAUUUUAUAUCAUCAAUGGCAUCAGAUUUAAUACCCAUGAUUUAUUCAUCAGAGAACUUGCUGCAUCUGGGAUUGAUCUGUUUGGCUUGAAGUUUUAUGCUCCCUGGGUGAUGCGCCUAAUCAAACUUCAUUCUUCUGUUGACUAUCAGCCCUCAGCGCGCAACCAUCUUAUCUUUCUGCCUGAGGUUGAUCUGUCCGUUGAAGCCAUCUACCCCGAGCCUGCCAAGGAGCCGCUAUAUCUUCAUAAUGUUGAUCACCAAAGCUUCACACAACCCAUAGAAGGCAUUCAUGUUCCCAAUGCUGCAACUCCAUCUUAUCCUCUGGCUGGCAAUAUGCGUGUGCCCCAUCAUGCAAACACCGAAGCCACUGAUAGCACUAUUGCCCAAAGGCCUCGGAAGCGUUCCCGUGUACUCAAUGACCGAGAACUUCUUGUGGCCUUACAUCAGAAGCAGGAUAAGCAUCAUGACUAG